RNAcentral lists this ribosomal RNA (1401 nucleotides) under uncultured bacterium. RNAcentral describes it as "bacterial SSU rRNA". It matches the Rfam family "Bacterial small subunit ribosomal RNA". The record is from RNAcentral.
UAGAGUUUGAUCCUGGCUCAGGAUGAACUCUAGCUACAGGCUUAACACAUGCAAGUCGAGGGGCAUCAUGUCGGUUGCUUGCAACCGAUGAUGGCGACCGGCGCACGGGUGAGUAACGCGUAUCCAACCUUCCGCACACUAAGGGAUAACCCGUUGAAAGACGGCCUAAUACCUUAUGUUCUCCACGGCAGACAUCUAAUGUGGAGCAAAGAUUUAUCGGUGUGCGAUGGGGAUGCGUCUGAUUAGGCAGUUGGCGGGGUAACGGCCCACCAAACCGACGAUCAGUAGGGGUUCUGAGAGGAAGGUCCCCCACAUUGGAACUGAGACACGGUCCAAACUCCUACGGGAGGCAGCAGUGAGGAAUAUUGGUCAAUGGGCGAGAGCCUGAACCAGCCAAGUAGCGUGCAGGAUGACGGCCCUAUGGGUUGUAAACUGCUUUUAUGCGGGGAUAAAACGCGGGACGUGUCCCGCCUUGCAGGUACCGCAUGAAUAAGGACCGGCUAAUUCCGUGCCAGCAGCCGCGGUAAUACGGAAGGUCCGGGCGUUAUCCGGAUUUAUUGGGUUUAAAGGGAGCGUAGGCCGCUUUGUAAGCGUGUUGUGAAAUUUGCCGGCUCAACCGGUAACUUGCAGCGCGAACUGCAGAGCUUGAGUGUGCGCAACGUUGGCGGAAUUCGUCGUGUAGCGGUGAAAUGCUUAGAUAUGACGAAGAACUCCGAUUGCGAAGGCAGCUGACGGGAGCACUACUGACGCUGAAGCUCGAAAGUGCGGGUAUCGAACAGGAUUAGAUACCCUGGUAGUCCGCACGGUAAACGAUGGAUGCCCGCUGUUUGCACCUAGUUGCAAGCGGCCAAGCGAAAGCGUUAAGCAUCCCACCUGGGGAGUACGCCGGCAACGGUGAAACUCAAAGGAAUUGACGGGGGCCCGCACAAGCGGAGGAACAUGUGGUUUAAUUCGAUGAUACGCGAGGAACCUUACCCGGGCUUGAAUUGCAGGAGAACGAUCCAGAGAUGGUGAGGCCCUUCGGGGCUCCUGUGAAGGUGCUGCAUGGUUGUCGUCAGCUCGUGCCGUGAGGUGUCGGCUUAAGUGCCAUAACGAGCGCAACCCCUUUCCUCAGUUGCCAUCAGGUAGAGCUGGGCACUCUGGGGACACUGCCACCGCAAGGUGUGAGGAAGGUGGGGAUGACGUCAAAUCAGCACGGCCCUUACGUCCGGGGCUACACACGUGUUACAAUGGGGGGUACAGAUAGCCGGUGGCGCGCAAGCUCCAUCCAAUCCUUAAAGCCCUCCUCAGUUCGGACUGGGGUCUGCAACCCGACCCCACGAAGCUGGAUUCGCUAGUAGUCGCGCAUCAGCCAUGGCGCGGUGAAUACGUUCCCGGGCCUUGUACACAAAGCCCGUCAAG